This 422-nucleotide long non-coding RNA is filed under the name Fukomys damarensis (Damara mole-rat). RNAcentral's name for it is "lncRNA (ENSFDAG00000032954.1)". The record is from RNAcentral. Lineage: Eukaryota; Metazoa; Chordata; Mammalia; Rodentia; Bathyergidae.
CGUGACGCCUGGGCUGACUGGGCACAGACCAGCUACACACAACCUCUGAGGGUCCAAAUGGGCGAGUGUGACCAUCCUGCAGGAAAACGGCCUGUAGCAGAAAGUGGGGAGCAGUCUGUAAGGUGGGAAAUGCUUCCUCAGACUCUUGAUACAAGUCAGCCCCCUUUGUGCAUUGCUAAGAUCCAGAGGGCGGAGCAACCUUCUUGUGAUCCAGCAAGACCCUGCAUAAAGUCUGGUCCCUCGUUACAUACUUGCGGAAUUGAAUGUGAGGACGCAGGUGCAGCCCCAGCACAGGUGCAGGCCUCAGGAAAUGAACGGCCUAAAGGGGAAUUGGACAGUAAUGCACCACACGCUGCAACAGGUAUUUGGCAAACAAAGAAGAUGGCUCAAAAACCCUGAUGCUCCCCGGUAACUGAGCAACU